RNAcentral lists this ribosomal RNA (253 nucleotides) under uncultured bacterium. RNAcentral's name for it is "partial 16S ribosomal RNA". It matches the Rfam family "Bacterial small subunit ribosomal RNA", at positions 524 to 776 of the family's 1533-position model. RNAcentral also lists the same sequence under 1 other name. The record is from RNAcentral.
UACGAAGGGGGCGAGCGUUGUUCGGAAUUACUGGGCGUAAAGGGUGUGUAGGCGGUUAUGUAAGAUAGCGGUGAAAUCCCGGGGCUUAACCUCGGAAUAGCCGUUAUAACUAUGUAGCUAGAGUUAUGGAGAGGAUAGCGGAAUACCCAGUGUAGAGGUGAAAUUCGUAGAUAUUGGGUAGAACACCGGUGGCGAAGGCGGCUAUCUGGCCAUAUACUGACGCUGAGGCACGAAAGCAUGGGGAUCAAACAGG